GAAAAAAUAAACAAUUCAUGAGUCUCUAAUUCCUUUUUGGCAAAUGCCAAUAAAAAAUUGUGGGGGGGACAAAAUCCAGAAAAUUCGAAGUGCGAAAUGCUUCAACUAUGAUGAACUCUUCUUCCACGUAAUAAGUUACAUUAGAGAAAAAUUAUACAUUCGAGGCAUGAAUCUGGUGCUCCUGCUGCAAAAACCAUCCCUAAUAUCUUACAAACUGCCUCGUAUCGUCAGCUCUUUUCUUCCCAUAAGGAUUGCCUUCGCUGAACCCAUUUCGGCUUCCUUCAACUUUACGCUUUUUCUGCCUGAACUUGGAAGCGUUGCUAUCUAUGUUGAGGUGUACUUUUGGAGGAUUAGAAAAACAGAACGAAGAAGCUACAGCCUGCAGAUCAAGUCUGUGAACAUUGAAUAUUUCCUUCAUGGAAUGAGAAUUAUAUGAUAGUAAAUAAGACCUAUAUGCCUCUUUAGCCGACUGGUUCAAGUAAUAGUUGUUUGCAACCAAUUUUUCCAGGAGUGACUGCACAUUGGCCAGCUUCUUAUGAUCAAAUUCGUAUUCUUUUACAGGUACUUUUGCCGCCUUCAGGUACUUGAGAAACUGCAACUCCUCUGGAAUCAAGAAUAGCAAAGCGUUUCCUUUAGCACCUUCACCACGUGCUGUUCGACCAACUCUGUGUAUGUAUUCCUUGGGUUCAUCGGGGGGGUCAAACUGCACAAUCCAGUCCACAGCAGGAAUAUCCAGACCACGUGCAGCGACAUCUGUGCAUAACAGGAUGCCCUUCUUUGCUUCGCAGAAAUCAAAAAAGGUAGACGUUCGUUUUUGCUGCUUUUGCUUCCCAUGAAUAUCAUGGCACUCAAUCUUGAUAUAGCGAAGAAGUUCGGAAUGGAACUUGACAGAGUUGCAAGAUGAGAAGAAAACCAUUAUUUUCUUUGACAGGUUCCUCUUCAAGAAUGAAUAAAGGAGAAUAAAUCUCCUGGCACUUGGGACAACACAGUAUCCUUGUUGUAGCCCUUCAUUUGUGACCCUCCUUCUCCCAUCGUCCACAUCAAUAUAGAUAGGAGCUGUCAAAGAUAAGCGUGCAAGGUCCUCAACCUUUUUUGUCUGUGUGGCCGAAAAGAGAGCAGUCUGCCUCCCCUCCUUUGGUAGAAGUUUAAGUAUUUGUUGCAUAUCUUCCUCAAAGUUUGCUUCCAAAAUCCUAUCAGCUUCAUCAAUCACGAGACACUGAAGGUUCUUAUAAUUGAAACCCUUGGUAUUUCUAAGAUGAUCAAGUAGUCGACCAGGGGUGCCUACUAAGAGAUUAGCCCCUUUAGCAAUACGCUCUGCCUCUGCUCUUCUUGCUGAACCACCGAUAACCAACCCAAGAGUCUGCGAGUGAUACUUGAGAAGGUCCUUUGCCACAGCAUGUGUCUGUAUAGCCAGUUCUCUUGUUGGGCAAAUAACAACCACCCCAGUUCCAUUACGUGGUGUAAAGUGGACAUUAAAUAAUAACUCCACAGCUGGAACCAAAAAUGCUAGAGUUUUACCAGAACCAGUUCUUGCAGCUCCGAGGACAUCCUUGCCUUCCACAAGAGGAGGAAUUGCCCUAGCUUGGAUCUGAGUCAUGUACUCAAAUCCCAUAUCCUCAAUAGCUUUCCUGGUGAGCUCAGAAAUUUGAACAGAAGAAAACAACUCUGAACUCAUAAUACCUGACCCACUCUUCAUCUCUUUCUUAAUCUCCUCCUUCAGUUCAUCACCCAAUUCCUGUCUUUCUUCAUCAUCCUCUUCCCCUUCCUCUUUCUCUUCCUCCUCCUUGGUCUCCUUUUCCGUAACCAUUUUGUUCUUCUUGUCUCUCUUUCGCUUUCUCUUCUUCUUAAUUGACUCUUCUUCCGCAAUAACUAUAUUAGGGUUUUCUUCAACCUCCGCCAUGGUUGAGAAUUUAUAACUCAGCGGCGGGGGGUGCAAGUUGAUAUCGUCGGAGAAAGAGAAACUGAGAGUUUGCCGGAGAAGAGGAAGAAAAGAUGAGCAG
This 2000-nucleotide unclassified non-coding RNA is filed under the name Hevea brasiliensis (rubber tree). The record is from RNAcentral. Lineage: Eukaryota; Viridiplantae; Streptophyta; Magnoliopsida; Malpighiales; Euphorbiaceae.